Molecule: unclassified non-coding RNA, 182 nt
Filed under: soil metagenome
Description: partial internal transcribed spacer 1
Source: RNAcentral
CCGAGUUUACAACUCCCAAACCCAAUGUGAACGUUACCAAACUGUUGCCUCGGCGGGGUCACGCCCCGGGUGCGUAAAAGCCCCGGAACCAGGCGCCCGCCGGAGGAACCAACCAAACUCUUUCUGUAGUCCCCUCGCGGACGUAUUUCUUACAGCUCUGAGUAAAAAUUCAAAAUGAAUCA